Long non-coding RNA from Asparagus officinalis (garden asparagus), 645 nucleotides. RefSeq lists it as uncharacterized. The record is from RefSeq and is a predicted model, not a curated record. NCBI's taxonomy places the organism in Eukaryota, Viridiplantae, Streptophyta, Magnoliopsida, Asparagales, Asparagaceae. The transcript has 3 exons.
CCCUUUUUACAACCCACGGUCCUCUCUCUUCCUCUCUCAAUCUUCAGAAAAAGAUUCAGAAAAUCAAAAAAAAAUCAAAAAUCAAAAAUUGAGAGCGACGAAAGCGAAGAUAGCCUAAAUCCACCCUCUAGACCUUUGCAUAUAUACAGUAAAGAUGCAAGCAGACAAAGAAAUGCUUUUGUCUCUAGCCUAAAUCUAGGUUUUCUUGAUUUCUAGGGAUUUGAUCUGGUUUCGAUCCUUUUGCAGCGGGUAAACGUUCGCUGAUGCCGGCAACUUGGAGCAUUGUGCCAAGUAUUUGAACCAGACGCUGGUGACCUUCGGAUUCCCUGCUUCGCUCGAUCUGUUUGCUACGGAUCCGGAAUCAAUUGCAAGGACUUGCAAUUGCAUACAUUCUUUACUUCAGCAGAAGCAGAGGGAUAUUGAGUUUAGGGAGUCGGCUAAUGAUCAGAGGCAAAGGUUUGUUUUUCUUCUGAUAUAUCUUAAUCUUAAUUUAUCUAUUUUAGAAAUAUGUCUUAUGCAGUGCCUCUAAAGACCGAGAGCUCGCCACCUUAACUCGAAAGGAGGCUAAAGCUACCACCGCGUUCAAAGCUCAAAUUGAAAAUCUGCAGCAGGAAAGGGAUGAAUUUCAAAAGAUGGUUAAUUGGU